UAUCUUGCACUGCCUCCAAUUCGGGCAGAACCAGUGGGAGCUGAUGGUGGUGACACGACCAAGGAAUCAGACUUUGCUACAGUCCCACAUUCCACCCCUACAAAGAUGGAUGAAAGAGGAGAUGAGCCCACAAAAACCGGACAGAGGCUUCUUCUUACAAGUCCACAACAGACGAUGCCUCAUAGGAAGCCAUCUUCAUCUGGCUCAUAUUUAGCACUGCCUCCAAUUCGGGCACAACCAGUGGACUUGACUGCUCCAACUAAGAAUACAUGGACUGUCCAAACUACAUCCAAUGUAGAUGUCCCACAGACUCAACAUGAAGAUGUAGCAGAA
Molecule: long non-coding RNA, 333 nt
Organism: Epinephelus moara (kelp grouper)
Lineage: Eukaryota; Metazoa; Chordata; Actinopteri; Perciformes; Serranidae
Exons: 4
Source: RefSeq, a predicted model, not a curated record